Molecule: ribosomal RNA, 1470 nt
Filed under: Mahidolia mystacina (flagfin prawn goby)
Lineage: Eukaryota; Metazoa; Chordata; Actinopteri; Gobiiformes; Gobiidae
Description: partial 16S ribosomal RNA
Rfam family: Bacterial large subunit ribosomal RNA
Source: RNAcentral
AGCCCCAACAGCUAGCCCAACAACCAAAAAUUAACAAACCCCAUUAAUUAUCCCCCCAAGAACUAACUCCGUUUAACAAACCAUUUUUCCCCCUGAGUAUGGGAGACAGAAAAGGACCGCCCGGCGCUAUAGAAGAAGUACCGCAAGGGAAAGCUGAAAGAGAACUGAAAGAACCCAGUAAAGGCUAUAGAAGCAGAAAUGAAACCUCGUACCUUUUGCAUCAUGAUUUAGCAAGUAAUGCUCAGGCAAAGAGACCUUUAUGUUUGAAACCCCGAAACUAAGCGAGCUACUCCGAGACAGCCUAUUAUAGGGCAAACCCGUCUCUGUGGCAAAAGAGUGGGAAGAGCUCUGAGUAGAGGUGACAGACCUACCGAGCUUAGUUAUAGCUGGUUACCUAAAAAAUGAAUAGAAGUUCAGCCUUUAAAAUUCCUCCGUCAAAGAAGGCCAAGCCUCCACCAGGUACGAGCAAAUUUAAAGAGUUAUUCAAAAGAGGGACAGCUCUUUUGAAAGUAGAUACAACUUUCUCAGAAGGGAAAGGAUCAUAGCACCCAAGGAAAACUACCCAAGUGGGCCUAAAAGCAGCCACCCCUAAAGAAAGCGUUAAAGCUCAAGUCACACUUCCCCCUCAAUCCCGACAAAAACAUCCUACCCCCCUGUGAUUUAUUAGGUCCACCUGUGCACCCACAGGUAAGACAAUGCUAGAAUGAGUAAUAAGAGAGUCAGACUCUCUCAAAUGCACCCCCGUAUGUCAGAACGAACCCCCACUGAAAAUUAACGCUCCCCAAGACAAGAGGGAACUGAAACACUCACGCAAAACAAGAAAAACCCCCAAGAACCUAGCGUUAAACCCACACAGGAGUGCCCCAAUGAAAGACAAAAAGAAAAAGAAGGAACUCGGCAAACACUGGCCUCGCCUGUUUACCAAAAACAUCGCCUCUUGCCCCCCCCCCCGUAUAAGAGGUCCCGCCUGCCCUGUGACGAAAGUUUAACGGCCGCGGUAUUUUGACCGUGCGAAGGUAGCGUAAUCACUUGUCUUUUAAAUAGAGACCUGUAUGAAUGGCAUAACGAGGGCUAAGCUGUCUCCUUUUUCCAGUCAAUGAAAUUGAUCUGCCCGUGCAGAAGCGGACAUAAAUACAUAAGACGAGAAGACCCUAUGGAGCUUAAGACAACAAGAUAGCUCACGUAAAAAACCCUGGAAAAGCAGGAAUAAACCAAAUGACGCCUGUCUUAAUGUCUUUGGUUGGGGCGACCGCGGAGAAACAAAAAACCCCCACGUGGAACGGGACAAACACCUUAAAGCUAAGAGCCACAGCUCUAACAAACAGAACAUCUGACCAUCAAGAUCCGGCAAAGCCGAUUAACGGACCCAGUUACCCUAGGGAUAACAGCGCAAUCCCCUUUUAGAGCUCAUAUCGACAAGGGGGUUUACGACCUCGAUGUUGGAUCAGGACAUCCUAAUGGUGCAGCCGC